This 497-nucleotide ribosomal RNA is filed under the name uncultured bacterium. Its description in RNAcentral is "partial 16S ribosomal RNA". It matches the Rfam family "Bacterial small subunit ribosomal RNA", at positions 28 to 507 of the family's 1533-position model. The record is from RNAcentral.
GAUGAACGCUGGCGGCGUGCCUAAUACAUGCAAGUCGAGCGAACAGACGAGGAGCUUGCUCCUCUGACGUUAGCGGCGGACGGGUGAGUAACACGUGGAUAACCUACCUAUAAGACUGGGAUAACUUCGGGAAACCGGAGCUAAUACCGGAUAAUAUAUUGAACCGCAUGGUUCAAUAGUGAAAGACGGUUUUGCUGUCACUUAUAGAUGGAUCCGCGCCGCAUUAGCUAGUUGGUAAGGUAACGGCUUACCAAGGCGACGAUGCGUAGCCGACCUGAGAGGGGGAUCGGCCACACUGGAACUGAGACACGGUCCAGACUCCUACGGGAGGCAGCAGUAGGGAAUCUUCCGCAAUGGGCGAAAGCCUGACGGAGCAACGCCGCGUGAGUGAUGAAGGUCUUCGGAUCGUAAAACUCUGUUAUUAGGGAAGAACAAAUGCGUAAGUAACUAUGCACGUCUUGACGGUACCUAAUCAGAAAGCCACGGCUAACUACGUG